UUGUUCCCUACCCACUGAAAUCUGUCUCCCCUAUGAAAUAAGAAGGUAAAGUGAAAAGAGACCUUCCUUGCAUGUCCAGAAACCUUGGAUUAUUUUCCUGUUUUUAAUACAUCAUGUCUUUAUUACUGAACAAGUUACUCAACCCCUCUUGGCCUCUGUUCCACCAUCUAAAAGUGAGAGGAACAAAGAUAAUGUUCUCUAAACUCCAUGAAUCUAUUCCAGGUUGCAUAGUGUUAUUCUGAUUUUGACUGUGUUGUAAGAUGAACAAAUGCAUUAAAGUUGUGCAUGGGAGUUCCCGUCGUGGCGCACUCCGAUUCGACCCCUAGCCUGGGAACCUCCAUAUGCCGCGGGAGCAGCCCAAAGAAAUAGCAAAAAGACAAAAAAAUAAAUAAAUAAAUAAAUAAAAAUGAAGUUGUGCAUGGACGUAGAGACCUUAGGAUGUGAGGAAUCAGACUUCAGCAUCCCUGCCAGAAGCAAAGUGUAGAAGUUAUAUUUUGCCUGAUUCCUUUGGAGGUUAUUUUCUCUAUAAUUGCGGUUGCCAGAGAAGGGACCACUCUGUAACUGGAGUAUCAUGUUGUAUCAGUUAUCUAUUGCUAUGUAACAAAUCAACCCCAAAUUUAGCAGCUUAAAUUGAUAAUGAACUGUUAUUUCUCAUGAUUCUGAGGUUCAGGAAUUCCAGCAAGUGUCCGCUAGGCAGUUGUGUUGGCUGUGGUAUAAACUGAGGAUGCUCCCUUGACUGCAUUCUCCUGCAGUUGGGCUGGACGUGGAGGCUGAAGAAGUCCUCACAUACCUAUCUGAUGCCUCGGUGUUCCUCCACUGGCUCCUCUCCUACCACCUGGUCUCAUCUGUAGUCUAGUAGUAGCUUUUCUACAGCCGGAUGACUAGCUUCCCUGGGGGGAAGCAAAAGCUGCUAAGCCUUUUAAAGUAUGGAUGUGUAUUUUUUGUUCACAUCCACCGAGAACUGACACAUCAUCAUAUCUGCCACAUUUCAUUGGUCAAAACAAGUCACAACUCAAAAAGAUUCAAGGAAAGGAGAAACAGACUUGGUAGAAUUGCAUGUGCACAUGGGAAGGGACGGAACAAUGGCAACCGUGUUUGGAAAUCCUCAACUACACACGAAUACAUCUUCCCUUUAUAUUUUAGAAGCCUAAAGGUGUUCGCUCAACAUCCAAAGUAUGUAGUAGUGUUGACGAACCUAAUUAUUCUCUUAAGUAGUGUCGGCUUGAUAAAUAGCACUUUUCCUCUGGGGAAGGAAUGAGAUGCAAAUUCCCACUUUGAAUUGGGUACUUCUCGGACCUGGAUUCCAAGUCUGUACUUUUCUCUUGUAGACGUACAGCCACGUCUUUAGAGUUUUGAUUCAGUGUUUGAUGAACCAAAGUCAAAUCAUGUGAAAGAAAACGUUACCUCUUUCUGAACUUUCUGUAGAGCUGCACUUGCCUUUGGUUGUUGUCAAAAUUCUAUGAAUGUGUUUGCCCAACAGAUCAAAUUACCCAACUGCACGAUUCUAUUUGCUUUUUUAUCAAGGGAGAAUAGGUUCCUUUCUGCUCUCAGUUUUAGUGGAGUUCCUUUUGUCUGUCCCGAUGCUCAUUCAUUCACUUAUUUGUGCAGAUGUGCUGGGUAUAGUCUAUGUGCCCGGCUAAAACGGGCAACGCUUCAGGCAGACAUCACCCUGCUCUCAUGGAGCUGACUUGCUAGCAUGGAACGUGGAUAAUGGAGAAAUAACCUAUUGAUUACAAUUGCAAUGUAAGCUACAAAGGAAAAGUCUAAACAGUGAGUGCUCUGUCAUAGAGACCCAACUUGGUAUGAGACACUGGCAGAGGCCUCUCAGGGGGAGUAAUGUUGAAAGCUGAACUCUGGAGCAGGGGUAGGGGGAGCAUCCGCUAGGUGAAAGAAGCGUAGAAGAAGGAAUUGAGGAGGGGGUGCUCCAGGCAGAGGGAACAUCCCAGACAAAGACCCUUUGGAAGAGAUUAGGAUGGGGAGGGUUCGAGAAAUUGAGAAGAGUCCAGUGGGAAAUGACAAGGUCAGGGUGAAGACGUGCAGCAUAUGGAACCUAAAAUAGCCACUUCAGAGCUGCGACACUUUGGGCAUAAUGUUCUCUGAGCCUUAGGGAGAGGAGACAAAGGGCAAUAGUGACUCUUCUUUUUUUAUUUUAUUUUAUUUUUUUUAUUUUCCCACUGUACAGCAAGGGGGUCAGGUUAUCCUUACAUGUAAAACUGUAAUUGUAAUAGUGACUCUUCUUUACCAACCAUCCCACCCCAAAGAGGCCAGUAAAGAAAUCUCACCCGCCGUCUGGCUAAUCAUGUUGCUACUGGGGGUUUAAGAGCAUCAUUAAUAUCUUCUAAGUUCCGGGUCCCCUGUUACACACUGGGAGUGGAACCAUGCACAUCGCAGGUACACAGCAAAGAUGAGCUCAUGAGAGCAAAAGACAGUGCCCUCCAGGAGCCCUCAGCCUGUUUGGUAGGGAGUGGAGGGGGAGGAUGGAGUGCGGCCCCGAAAUGCAGUCAGAACCACGAUGAAAUAAUUUGGGGGUACAGUCAGGUUAGAUUAAGAUCUUCGGUAGCCCUAGGGACUGAAAACGGACUGCGCCCUCCCUUCCAUCCAAAUGCAGUUCGAAAUACUAUUUUAUGUUUUCAAAUGACAAGGGAGAAAAAAGCACCAAAAAUGAAAGAAAUCAUCUCUAGAUUUUUUGAUUAUGUAGUUUUGGUUAAGUUCAUCGAAGUCGAACUAUACUCAUUGUAUUUAGUAGCUAGUGUAUACCUUUUGGCAUACACUUUGCCAAUCACCUAGGCACAUGUUUGUCCUAUGUUUGCCCCAUAUUUUAAGGAGUUUUGCAGUGACUGACAUUCUAGCCUAUGACAGAGGAGAAAGAGUCAUUCUUUUCAGGUGUUGAGUUGGGGAAGGAGAAUAGGAGAGGAGGCAUCAAUUAAGCCUUGUUGUAAAAAAUAAUGCAUUACUUAGGAAACAGAUUCUGGUUGCUUUUUUUGGGGGGGGGGAGGGGGGCUGUACCUGCGGCAUAUGGAAGUUCCAGGCUAGGGGUUGCAUGGGAGCUGCAACUGCUGGCCUACACCACAGCCACAGCAAUGUGGGAUCAGAGCUGUGUCUGCAACCUACACUGCAGCUCACGGCAAUGCUAGAUCCUUAACCCACUGAGUGAGGCCAGGGAUAGAACCCCCAUCCUCAUGGAUACUAGUUGGAUUCUUAAACUGCUGAGCCACAACAGGAACUCCCUGGUAUUUUGUUAAGUCCCUAAUAUGACAGUGGCUUAAAUAAGAGAGUCUCACCUUAACCAUACACACAUAAGCAGUUCCAGGACCAACAUGGUGGCUUGGCAGUGUCCUAGUCCCUGGUUCCUUCGAUGUUAUUGCUCUGCCGCCCUCAGCACAUGGGUUCCCUCCAUCAUUUCUUGACCCAGAAUGGCUGCUCAGCUCCCACAUCUGCAUCCAGUCUGCAGAAAGGGGGGAAGGAGAUAAGGAGAAAGCGUGCUCAUUCGUUCAUAGGGUGCCACCCACUUUUGCUCAUGGCCAAUGGGCCAGCCCUAGUCAGGUGGUUAUAUCCAGCUGCAAGGGAGGCUGGGUACUGUAGUCCUUAGCUGGGUGGCCAUGCUACCACCCAGGGAACCCCAUUACUAAAGGAAGACAGGGAGAAUGGAUAUUGGAGCACAUUCAGCAGCUUCUCCACAGAUGGCAGGUGGGCAUGGCCAGGAUGGGUGGCCACAAACAGGAGCUUAGGAAAAUCAUCUGUGAGGCUUUACGAUGCCCGCUCUAUAGAAGAGGGACAUAGAAACACAGACAGGUUAAGGUAGACACCAAGGUGGCAGUGGGAGUCGUCCUACCCUGGGGCCAGGCAGUAAAGAAGUACAUUGUCUGGACCAGAAGAACCAAACCCAUGGAAAGCUCUUCUGUUUUACAUUAUGCACUAGCGGUUCCCACGUGUCAGAGAUCAAACACUCCUCCCCACUGGCACAGACCCCUCCCACUGCCCCCCGGCCCGCACACCAUUGCCAAGGCCGGCAAGUGCCAAAAGAGGGUCUGAGCCAUCGAGAGCCUGAACAAAGCGCUGGGGAGGAGCCGGGCAGUGGUACAUACCGCUUCCCCAGCACACGCACAUCUUCCCCUGGCUUACGCCUUUGCCAGGGACUGAUAAACCCUGUCCUUGAACCCAGUGUGUCCUGGUGUUCAAGGUCCUGUUUGCAUCGUUUUCAAAUCCUGGCUGUCUCACUUCCUAGGUCUGUAAUUCUGAACAAGUCCGUGAGCUUAUAGUCUGUCUAAACCAGGGAUUCUCAAACUUGAAUCCGUGUGAAUCAGAGUCACCCAGGGGCCUUGUUAAAAUGCAGUUUCUGAUUCAGUGGGUCUGGGCUGGAGCUGGUGAAUUUGAAUUUCCAACACAUACCCAAAUGACGCUGAUGCUGUUGGUCCAGAGACCACACUUUGAGACAUGGGCCUGAGUGGAGGGAAGCGAGUUGCCUUUCAGUUUGGUGGCUGCAGUGGGUCGUCAAAGGUCCUGGGAGUUGUAACUGUUCUUGAAAACAGAACAUACAUGCUAAUGACACAUGAUAUUACUUAAUGAUUUACAGUGUUCCCUUUUCUUUCCAAAGCCCAAGUAUUAUUAAUAACAGCAACAGCUAACUGUCUUCUUCAGGCUCACUAGAUUUUUAAGCUCAAUGAGACAAAGGACCUUUAAAAAUACAGCUUUUCAAAUACACCGCUAGGGAGUUCCUGCUAUGGCACAGCAGGACUGGUGGUGUUUCUGCAACACCAGGACGCAGGUUCUAUUCCCAGCCCGGCACAGUGUGUUAAAUCAUCUAGCAUUGCUGCAGCUGUGGUAUCAGUCCCCACAGCUGCAGCAUAGGUGGCAACUGCAGUUUGCAUCUGAUCCCUGGCCCGGGAAGGCCAUAUGCCACAGGGCAGCCAGAAAAAAAAAAAAAAAAAAAAAAA
This 4934-nucleotide long non-coding RNA is filed under the name Sus scrofa (pig). RNAcentral describes it as "lncRNA (ENSSSCG00030070340.1)". Lineage: Eukaryota; Metazoa; Chordata; Mammalia; Artiodactyla; Suidae. The record is from RNAcentral.